Molecule: long non-coding RNA, 626 nt
Organism: Musa acuminata AAA Group (dessert banana)
Lineage: Eukaryota; Viridiplantae; Streptophyta; Magnoliopsida; Zingiberales; Musaceae
Exons: 3
Source: RefSeq, a predicted model, not a curated record
UCCUUCCCUGUUUGGUCCCCUCCACCUCCAUCGCCGGUGCUCCCCGUCGGUGACGCCUUUUUACGUCUAUCUUCCCCGUAUGUCCGCCGCUUUCGUACCGCAAGAUUCGUCUUCUUGGUCAAAAAACGCUUCUUUUCUACUUGGUUUUUGCUCGAUUUGGUGGACUCUUCCACUGCUCGAACAAUGGAGGGGUGAAUGCGGAGGUGGGAAGCUUGAAAUCGUAGCUUCUCCGAAUCGUCCAGGAACACCAAGGGAGAUCCACUUGGAUCAGAGAUCAAACAGGAGAUUGGUGACUUUGGGAGCGGAACGAAGAUAAUAGACUUCGACUGUAAAAGCAUAAACUCUGAUCUCACUCAUAAGACCUACAGAGGCUACAAUCUGUGCCAAGCUGAUGUUCCAGAGUUCCAAUGGUGUGUAUUCUGAAUUAAUGCAGACUUGGACGCUGACUAUUUUGUGACAGAAGUCAACGCAGCUUCAACCCUCCCGAUUCAUCCCGAGCCAUUUUGUAUUAGCUUCAGUUCAAAGAGUAACACAUUACUCCUUUUGAUUGUUGAUGAGAUACGAUGGCAAAGAACCAGAGAAAAUUUACUUGGAGUUUCAUCUAAUAUCAUUUCGUAGGUUGAAGA